UCUAAUCUAAGCUCUCUAACCCUCAUCUCUUUAGAACCUUCUGGUUCUCUCCGUCUUCUCCGAUGACGACCAUCGCCUCUCCGGCUCACUCCUCCUUCACUUCUCUCAAUCUCCAGCAACCAUGGAGUCCCUGUAUCGCUAUUUUCUCUCUAAAUUUUGAAGCCAACAGUUUCCACCAUGAAAGAGGUUACAGAAGCUUUAUUUGGGUCUGUUUCCGGCCUUGGUUUUGUUCGAUGAUGCCUUCUAUCGAAUUACAUAUGGAUUUCAUGGCCAGGUUCUCAUUUCCCUAACUUAUUUUGCAAACCCUAAUUUGCUUUGCCUAAUCUCUUAAACUUCUAUCUUUCUAAGCAAUUUCCGGCUUAUCUUUGUUUUCUACACUACAUCUCACUCAAUAUCUUUGGUUAAGUCGAAUUUUUUCAAACGUUCUGUACCUCUUUUUCAAACUAGGGUUUCUGACCCUUUUCAAAGUCGCUAUAUCUCCUACUUUUCUUGAGUAUUAUAUGGUUGUNNNNNNNNNNNNNNNNNNNNNNNNNNNNNNNAUUUUUUCAAACGUUCUGUACCUCUUUUUCAAACUAGGGUUUCUGACCCUUUUCAAAGUCGCUAUAUCUCCUACUUUUCUUGAGUAUUAUGUGGUUGUUUCUGUUUAUUUUUGUUACGAGCGUUUAGUUUCCCUGUUAAUUUUGAGUUCCAUGCUCAAACUUUAUGGCUAGGGUUUCUCACCGCUUUUCAAAAUCGUAUAUCUGCUGCUUUUCGUGAGUAUUAUGUGUUCGUUUGUGUUUGUUUGUGUUACGAGUUUGUUUGGUUUCCUUGUCAAUUUGAGUUCCCUGCUUUAGUUUCUUGCUAGGGUUCUGACCCUUUGUUGCUUCCAUGAUUCCUUGAUUAGGAUUCUCUCAUUUUCAUGUCUACUAUGCUUUAUAGGUCUAAUUGUUCAUCGCGCAGGUGAUAUUCUACUGAUUUGUGCAUCUAUGUGAAUCCAUGAUAUUUUGAUUUUCAUGUCUACUAUGCUUUAUAAGUCUAAUUGUUCAUCGCUCAUGUGAUAUUCUACUAAUUUGUGCGUCUCUGUAAAUCCAUGAUUUGUAUAUGAUUUUCCUCAAACGUUUUACACUGAUUUCUUUUUGAAUUACUUCCUUGUUUAGAUGUGCUUUCCUUACAUAUAAGCAUUCCCUCUGAUUUUUGGUUUUGUCCAUGAUUCUUUGACUAAUUGACAGAAUUAAUUUGUAUUCCCCUACCAUAUUUGUGCAUAAAUAGGCUUUCAAAAUCGUCAGCAUAUAUUUUCCUUACUUGAAUUAUUAUGUAUCUAACCCAUAUUGCAUAUUAUGUGCUCUACUACUCUUAUUAGGGUAAAUGUAGAGUCUGAUUGAUUCUUUUCCUUUUUUUAAAAAAAUCCACUGCUUGUUACCAUUUGUCUUGGACUCCUUAAUUAAAGGGAAAUCCUUACAUUGAUGGAUUGUGAUUGAUGCUCGUUCCUUAAUUAUAGUUUGGUG
Molecule: long non-coding RNA, 1484 nt
Filed under: Nicotiana benthamiana
Lineage: Eukaryota; Viridiplantae; Streptophyta; Magnoliopsida; Solanales; Solanaceae
Description: long non-coding RNA (NBEN_LNC007874)
Source: RNAcentral